This is a long non-coding RNA of Pseudophryne corroboree (corroboree frog), 2258 nucleotides long. RefSeq lists it as uncharacterized. NCBI's taxonomy places the organism in Eukaryota, Metazoa, Chordata, Amphibia, Anura, Myobatrachidae. The record is from RefSeq and is a predicted model, not a curated record. The transcript is spliced from 3 exons.
UGGCAUUGCCAGCCUAACCACUGCUCAAAGCAGGCCGACCGUCCCGCAAGACCAACUGGACGGAGGGUGAGAUACAGCUGCACUUGGCGCCGGACUCAAGGAACUUAUUUGCUUGCAGAACAGAACUCACAGGACACGGGGAACAUGGGUAAAACUCGAGCACAUGGAACCGUGAAGAGAAGCUGAAUAUCUUUUGCAACAACUGAAGCGGGGGGGAAAAAGAGAAGACGCUACACAGGGUGUGUCAGCUGGAAAGUCAUGAAAACUAAUCUGCAUUGCAAUGAGGAAAGCAAAGGGAGGAAGAAAAAAACCUGUAACAAUUUAGAUUGAGUGCAAACUUUGCCAGCAGGGCUCAGGGAAGCCAAAUUUCAUUGCAAGGGGAAAAAAAUUGAAAGUCACUGGCUGCUGAGGCCAGCUGGAGUGAUCGCACCUAGUUUACAGUACCACCUGCUGCUGAACGCAGUAGACUUUAACCCUUUUCAUGCCUGGUAUGACUUAAUACAUAUUUACAGUAUAAAUAUAUGGCGCUUGGAAAAAGAGAACAGGACCUGACAAUUAAAGCCAGUGCAUUAAAAAACAGAGAAGUUAUACUACCGUGUUUCCCCGAUAAUAAGCCUUGCUUUUGGAAACUGGUCCAAAAUAAGCCCUACCCUGAAAAUAAGCCCUAUCAAAAUUCCCAUUACCCGAGUCCAUGCACUAAAUUCAAUGCCCCCAGCUCCACCCCCGCUAACCCCCUUCACCCCCACCCUGCUUGAGGGAUGCUGUACAGUUCUGUAUCAGCCGUUGAAGACUCCAGCUCCCAGUCCCAGGGAUGCAUUGCGCCCUGCGCAUGAUGUCUCCGCGCACAUCACACGGGUUCUGUACACGGCGGGAGCGGAGUAGCAGCGGCGCCGGCGGAAAGCAAGAAGAAGAACUGGAAACUGGAACUGGAAAGUGCUGUAGGUGAGGAGCAGGACUGGGGGCAUGGUGGCUGUAAGGGGGCAUGGUGGCUGUAAAAGGAGGACUGGGGGAUGUAAAAGCAGGACUGGGGGUAUGGUGGCUGUUAAAUAAGCCCUACCCGAAAAUAAGCCCUAUGGUGUUUUUUGUUGAAAAAAAAUAAAUAAGACAGUGUCUUAUUAUCGGGGAAACACGGUAUGUACAUAUAUGCAGAUAGUGAGAAUUUCCCAUUCUCUCGCAUUGUCCAGGAGACUAAACUUUCACAGAGACUCUGCUUUCUCCCCUCUGAAGAAUGACACUAAACGCGCCAACAGGCCUCACUUCCAUUGUGCAAGGAGAAUUCGGGAGUGGCGCCGCUAACCUCACUUGUCCACUGGGCCAAAAAUUAGGCAAGUUUGAAUGAGACCUUGCUUACUGAACAGAAUAUGGCACUGUACGUUGUCCAUAACUAUUGAAUAAAUGGGGCAGAUGUAUUAAGCCUUGAGAAGUGAUAAAGCAGUGAUAAGUGCACGGUGAUAACCCACUAGCCAAUUAUUAUGGUUUGAAAAAUGACAAGAGCUGAUUGGCUGGUGCAUUAUCACCUUCCACUUAUCACUGCUUUAUCACUUCUCCAGGCUUAAUAAAUCUGGCCCAAAAUUAGAUAUUGAGAAUUGCGUUCACCAUCCAGAAAAAGAGAGGUGGUACUGGUUAUUGGGUCUGUCAUAAAAAAGGGGGAAAGGAUACAUUUUCUAGGGUCAAGGCUUAAAAAAGUGGGGACCUCAUCUGGUACAAAAUCAGGUCUACUGGGAACAUGAACAUGAAUGAGGACGGAGGGCUGGAGGUCAGCCAGACGUUUAUUAAACCCUGAGGCUGUCAUACAGUGAGCUCAUAGACAUCAGGGUUGGUUGCCCCCUUUUGAAUGGGUGUGUUUAAGAGAGUGACAGUUUGGCUGGCCAAUAGUUGAUCUUGAUGUCAUGGGGAGGUAUCUAUGGAGUUAUUAAAGCUCCCCCUUUAGGAGUGUGAGGCCUCCUUCCUGAUUGUCCCACACUCCCGUCUGUUUGGUUUUUGUUGUGUUUGGAGCGGCGGUAAAGAACGGCAUUUACUUAUAAAGUUUUUUUGGGUGCUCUAUCCUCAUAAGGCUUUAUACUGCCCGUGCCCAGUUGGGAGUGACUAUACCGUGUGCCCACAUGGGUCCAAUGAGCAAUGUUGGGUGGAGAGCUGAUCACCAGUUAGUAGGUUUGUGGAAUACAUUCGUUUACUUUGUUUCUCUGACUGUUCUUUAUUCAGCCGCCAUAUAUAUUUCAUUGAGUAACAUUCAAAUAAAUACAUAAUUUAUUGUCAAA